GACGAACGCUGGCGGCGUGCCUAAUACAUGCAAGUCGAACGCAUUUUCUUUCACCGUAGCUUGCUACACCGAAAGAAAAUGAGUGGCGAACGGGUGAGUAACACGUGGGUAACCUGCCCAUCAGCGGGGGAUAACACUUGGAAACAGGUGCUAAUACCGCAUAAUUCCAUUUACCGCAUGGUAAAUGGAUGAAAGGCGCUUUUGCGUCACUGAUGGAUGGACCCGCGGUGCAUUAGCUAGUUGGUGGGGUAACGGCCUACCAAGGCUGCGAUGCAUAGCCGACCUGAGAGGGUGAUCGGCCACACUGGGACUGAGACACGGCCCAGACUCCUACGGGAGGCAGCAGUAGGGAAUCUUCGGCAAUGGACGCAAGUCUGACCGAGCAACGCCGCGUGAGGGAAGAAGGUUUUCGGAUCGUAAAACUCUGUUGUUAGAGAAGAACAAGGAUGAGAGUGGAAAGUUCAUCCCUUGACGGUAUCUAACCAGAAAGCCACGGCUAACUACGUG
RNAcentral lists this ribosomal RNA (507 nucleotides) under uncultured bacterium. RNAcentral's name for it is "partial 16S ribosomal RNA". It matches the Rfam family "Bacterial small subunit ribosomal RNA", at positions 28 to 507 of the family's 1533-position model. The record is from RNAcentral.